AGCAACGAUCAGUAGCCGGCCUGAGAGGGUGAACGGCCACAUUGGGACUGAGACACGGCCCAAACUCCUACGGGAGGCAGCAGUGGGGAAUAUUGCACAAUGGGCGAAAGCCUGAUGCAGCAACGCCGCGUGAGCGAUGAAGUAUUUCGGUAUGUAAAGCUCUAUCAGCAGGGAAGAUGAUGACGGUACCUGACUAAGAAGCCCCGGCUAACUAC
Molecule: ribosomal RNA, 215 nt
Filed under: uncultured bacterium
Lineage: Bacteria
Description: partial 16S ribosomal RNA
Rfam family: Bacterial small subunit ribosomal RNA
Source: RNAcentral